AGAAUCUGCCUAGAGGAUGGGGACAACCACGGGAAACUGUGGCUAAUACCCAAUGAGCGGAGACGUUAAAGAUUUAUCGCCUCUAGAGGAGCUCGCGUCUGAUUAGCUAGUUGGUGGGGUAAAAGCCUACCAAGGCGACGAUCAGUAGCUGGUCUGAGAGGACAACCAGCCACACUGGGACUGAGACACGGCCCAGACUCCUACGGGAGGCAGCAGUGGGGAAUUUUCCGCAAUGGGCGAAAGCCUGACGGAGCAAUACCGCGUGAGGGAGGAAGGCUCUUGGGUCGUAAACCUCUUUUCUCAGGGAAGAAGAAAGUGACGGUACCUGAGGAAUCAGCCUCGGCUAACUCCGUGCCAGCAGCCGCGGUAAUACGGAGGAGGCAAGCGUUAUCCGGAAUUAUUGGGCGUAAAGCGUCCGUAGGUGGCUCUUCAAGUCUGCUGUCAAAGAGUGGGGCUUAACUCCAGAAAGGCAGUGGAAACUGAAAGGCUAGAGAGCCGUAGGGGUAGAGGGAAUUCCCGGUGUAGCGGUGAAAUGCGUAGAGAUCGGGAAGAACAUCGGUGGCGAAAGCGCUCUACUGGACGGUAUCUGACACUGAGGGACGAAAGCUAGGGGAGCGAAUGGGAUUAGAUACCCCAGUAGUC
Molecule: ribosomal RNA, 642 nt
Filed under: uncultured cyanobacterium
Lineage: Bacteria; Bacillati; Cyanobacteriota
Description: bacterial SSU rRNA
Rfam family: Bacterial small subunit ribosomal RNA
Source: RNAcentral